This is a non-coding RNA of Cinara cedri, 221 nucleotides long. Lineage: Eukaryota; Metazoa; Arthropoda; Insecta; Hemiptera; Aphididae. The record is from the annotation of a GenBank genome assembly.
CUCUUACUAAUCUAGGAUUUAUUAAACGCAGUUGUAAAGAUUUUAAUGAUAAAACAGCAUUAUGUAGUCUUUAUUUUUCUUUAGUUCGCUCUAAUCUGGAAUAUGUGACCAUCAUAUGGGAAACCAAUAAAACAGAUUUAUUUAAUAGUUUAGAGGGAAUACAAAAUAAUUUCCUGAGAUUUACUUCUUAUAGCUGCCAAAUAAACAAAUUAAGACACUCA